This 1871-nucleotide long non-coding RNA is filed under the name Marmota monax (woodchuck). Lineage: Eukaryota; Metazoa; Chordata; Mammalia; Rodentia; Sciuridae. The record is from RNAcentral.
GCCAACUUUCCCAGAUAAGAAGUUGUUUGUCACAGACCACAGCGGAGCCAGCGCCAUCUUGUAAUGGCGACCAUAAUCUGCAGAAACGGCAGAAGGGCUCACCACAGACAUAUGGACUUGGAUGCUCUAUAGAGGUUUCUUAUGAAAUAUCUCAACUCCUUCAACUUUUACUAGAUGUCUUCCAUUAAGAUAGGGGCAAAGCCAAAAUCUGCAGCUACUGGCUGAAGGCCUUGAGCAGACAUCCCACUGUCUAGUGUCAGUUGUAAGCUAAAGUUGUCACUUAUGUUCUUGUAACAAGAAUAAAACUUAGCUUAUUCUUAUAUUCCAUAUUCAGUUAAUGGUAUCUCUAAGAACCAGUAAUAUAAUUUGAGAUGCUUAAUAAUGGAUAAAAAUGUAAGUUCUCUUGUUCAAAAAUAUUGAGAAUUAUAAGACCCUGAUAGAAGAGAAUGAAGUGUAAGACCCUGUGUGACUGCCCAAAGUUGACCAGAUAGAGACCCGAGUCAUCUCUCCAGCAGACCCUCAUCCAAUAGAACACUGGUCUUUCCAAUCUAGCUGUCCUAAUGCUUCUAAUAUUUCUCUCUUUUUCCAAUCCAAGGUCAUGCUUUAAGUCUUUUGCCAUUUACUAUUGAGAUAUUAUAAUAACCACCUAGCAACCACAUAACUGUUCUCACUGCUUCAAAUCUAUUCUGAUAUUUUCUCAUCACUUCAUACUUACUUGAUACCCUCUCAGCUCAUGAACAUGCCUCUAGUAUUAUUCAUCAUGGCAUUUACAUAUCUUUUUAUAGUGCUUAUGUUUAAUAACCAAUGUUUUAAAUAUGUUGCUAAAUUCUACAAUAUAAAAUGAAAAUUCUGUCAAUCCGCCCAUAGACCAAUUAGCAAGUGAAAUACCAUGCACAUAUGUACACACAUACAGCAAUAAUCACUCUGUGAAGGCAAAGGUAACAUGUAUUGAAAGAGAUUCAAAAAUCCAUAGGAAUAGAAGUGAGAGAGAAUUCCCUAAAAGUUCUCCAGGUGAGACUGAAUAAUGGCCAAAGCAGUGGUACCCGAAUGGGAAUGGAUAGGUAAAAGUGGUUGUAUCAGAGUAAUCAAGCUCCUCACACCCUUGGAGAAUUAAAAGUUCUAAGACAGAUACUCUUCCAAAGCUGCUUUCACCAGAAGACAGGUGAUUCUGCUCUUUGCCUUUCCUCAUUUUCCCUGCUUACAACACUUUUGAAAGUCAAGACAAAAUAAAAACAGUUUCCCUUCUGACUUAACUGACAGCGUGGUUACUGGGUGGCAUGGCAAGACACUGCUAACCUGUCUUCCCAAGUGACAGUCCCAUGUUGCAUUCCCUACCAGACAUCAACUGUGUUCUGGUUGCUCCACAUUCUCACCAGCAUUUGGUGCUGUCAGUAUUGUGGAUUUUCAAGGCUGCUCUACAAAUGUAGAAAUCCAGAAAAGUAAUUUGAGAUUUCCAAAGACAUAGGAUGUUAAUCAUCUUUGCAUUUGCCUAUUUACCAUCUGUAUGUCUUUUCUUAGUGAAGUGUCUUGCACAAAACUUUUGUCCAUUUUUUAAAUUAAGUUGUUCAUUUUCUUAGUUUUGAAUUUUGAGAGUUCCUUUUAUGUUUUUUAUAGUAGUCAUUUACCAGAGAUAUUUUUAUGCAUACUUUCUCCCAGUAUGUGGUUUGUCUUUUCAUUCCAUUAACAAUAAUAUCAUUUGCUGAGAAGAACUUUUUUAUUGUAAUAAAAUCCAACUUUGAUUUUGUGUUUAAAAGUUGUUGCCAAACUCAAAAUCACCUAGAUUUUUCCCUAAAUUAUCUCCAGUAGUUUUAUGUUCACAGCAGUAUUUAAAAAGAUGACUUUGUUAGAAUUUUUAAAAAAUAAUUAUUUAA